RNAcentral lists this transfer RNA (68 nucleotides) under Marmota monax (woodchuck). RNAcentral's name for it is "tRNA.Ala". The record is from RNAcentral. Lineage: Eukaryota; Metazoa; Chordata; Mammalia; Rodentia; Sciuridae.
GGAUUGUGGCUUAGUGGUAGAGUGCUUGCCUAGCAUGUGUGAGGCACUGGGUUCGAUUCUCAGCACCA